CCUACGGGCGGCAGCAGUGGGGGAUAUUGCACAAUGGGGGAAACCCUGAUGCAGCGACGCCGCGUGUGGGAAGACGGUCCUCUGGAUUGUAAACCACUGUCCCCAGGGACGAAGAUGACGGUACCUGGGGAGGAAGCUCCGGCUAACUACGUGCCAGCAGCCGCGGUAAUACGUAGGGAGCGAGCGUUGUCCGGAAUUACUGGGUGUAAAGGGAGCGUAGGCGGGGAUGCAAGUUGGGUGUCAAAACUACCGGCUCAACUGGUAGUCGCACUCAAAACUGCAGCUCUUGAGUGGGCGAGAAGUAUGCGGAAGGCGUGGUGUAGCGGUGAAAUGCAUAGAUAUCACGCAGAACUCUGAUUGCGAAGGCAGCAUACCGGCGCCCGACUGACGCUGAGGCACGAAAGCGUGGGGAUCGAACAGGAUUAGAUACCCCUGUAGUC
This 440-nucleotide ribosomal RNA is filed under the name uncultured bacterium. Its description in RNAcentral is "partial 16S ribosomal RNA". It matches the Rfam family "Bacterial small subunit ribosomal RNA", at positions 338 to 795 of the family's 1533-position model. The record is from RNAcentral.